This 440-nucleotide ribosomal RNA is filed under the name uncultured bacterium. Its description in RNAcentral is "partial 16S ribosomal RNA". It matches the Rfam family "Bacterial small subunit ribosomal RNA", at positions 338 to 795 of the family's 1533-position model. The record is from RNAcentral.
CCUACGGGAGGCAGCAGUGGGGAAUAUUGCACAAUGGGGGAAACCCUGAUGCAGCGACGCCGCGUGAGUGAAGAAGUAAUUCGUUAUGUAAAGCUCUAUCAGCAGGGAAGAAAAUGACGGUACCUGAGUAAGAAGCCCCGGCUAACUACGUGCCAGCAGCCGCGGUAAUACGUAGGGGGCAAGCGUUAUCCGGAUUUACUGGGUGGAAAGGGAGCGUAGACGGCCGUGCAAGUCUGGAGUGAAAGGCGGGGGCUCAACCCCCGGACUGCUCUGGAAACUGUACGGCUGGAGUGCAGGAGAGGUAAGUGGAAUUCCUAGUGUAGCGGUGAAAUGCGUAGAUAUUAGGAGGAACACCAGUGGCGAAGGCGGCUUACUGGACUGUAACUGACGUUGAGGCUCGAAAGCGUGGGGAGCAAACAGGAUUAGAUACCCCAGUAGUC